Molecule: transfer RNA, 73 nt
Filed under: Actinomycetota bacterium
Lineage: Bacteria; Bacillati; Actinomycetota
Description: tRNA-Thr
Rfam family: tRNA
About the family: Transfer RNA (tRNA) molecules are approximately 80 nucleotides in length. Their secondary structure includes four short double-helical elements and three loops (D, anti-codon, and T loops).
Source: RNAcentral
GCCGGAGUAGCUCAGCUGGUAGAGCAGCCGCCUUGUAAGCGGCAGGUCGCCGGUUCGAGUCCGGCCUCCGGCU